AUACGGAGGGUGCAAGCGUUACUCGGAAUCACUGGGCGUAAAGCGCGCGCAGGCGGUUUGGUAAGUCAGAUGUGAAAGCCCACGGCUCAACCGUGGAAGUGCAUUUGAAACUGUCAGACUUGAGUACUAGAGGGGAAAGUGGAAUUCCCGGUGUAGAGGUGAAAUUCGUAGAUAUCGGGAGGAAUACCGGUGGCGAAGGCGACUUUCUGGCUAGAUACUGACGCUGAGGCGCGAAAGCGUGGGGAGCAAACAGGAUUAGAAACCCCAGUAGUCC
Molecule: ribosomal RNA, 274 nt
Filed under: uncultured bacterium
Lineage: Bacteria
Description: partial 16S ribosomal RNA
Rfam family: Bacterial small subunit ribosomal RNA
Source: RNAcentral